Molecule: ribosomal RNA, 429 nt
Filed under: Bacteroidota bacterium
Lineage: Bacteria; Pseudomonadati; Bacteroidota
Description: Bacteroidetes bacterium partial 16S ribosomal RNA
Rfam family: Bacterial small subunit ribosomal RNA
Source: RNAcentral
UAGGGAAUCUUCCGCAAUGGACGCAAGUCUGACGGAGCAACGCCGCGUGAGUGAAGAAGGAUUUCGGUUCGUAAAACUCUGUUGUUAGAGAAGAACAGCGCAUAGAGUAACUGUUAUGCGUGUGACGGUAUCUAACCAGAAAGCCACGGCUAACUACGUGCCAGCAGCCGCGGUAAUACGUAGGUGGCAAGCGUUGUCCGGAUUUAUUGGGCGUAAAGCGAGCGCAGGCGGUCAAUUAAGUCUGAUGUGAAAGCCCCCGGCUCAACCGGGGAGGGUCAUUGGAAACUGGUUGACUUGAGUGCAGAAGAGGAGAGUGGAAUUCCAUGUGUAGCGGUGAAGUGCGUAGAUAUAUGGAGGAACACCAGUGGCGAAGGCGACUCUCUGGUCUGUAACUGACGCUGAGGUUCGAAAGCGUGGGUAGCAAACAGG